UCUUAGCAACCGGAUUUGGUCCUAGUCCUUCUCUUGGUCUUUUCUAAAACGAUACAUGCAAGUCAAUUACAACACAGUGAGUAUAGUUUAAAGCUACUCUUAAAAGAAAUAGCUCCACCAAAACAAAGCAUCAGAAAAUACCUCAAUUCGACGACGCCUAGCCAACCACAUCUGCAGUACCUAACAUUAUACAAUAAGCAAAAGCUUGAUAUAGUUAUAGAAUUAAGAGUUGGUUAAUUAUGUGCCAGCCACCGCGGUUAUACAUAAAACUCAAACCAAGAAAACUGCCGGUCUAAAGGUGACUAGAGAAAAUACUACUUAGGGUAGAAAAAAACUCCAGUAUUAAUAAGCUUCUACAGUAAACUAAUCACAACUACAAUGACCACCCUAAACUUUUCUAACUCAAAACACCAAAGCUCAAAAAUAAACUGGGAUUAGAUACCCCACUAUAUGAGCCGUAAAAAAUCAAUAACACCAGAGAA
RNAcentral lists this ribosomal RNA (482 nucleotides) under Astropecten antillensis. RNAcentral's name for it is "partial 12S ribosomal RNA". The record is from RNAcentral. Lineage: Eukaryota; Metazoa; Echinodermata; Asteroidea; Paxillosida; Astropectinidae.